GUGGGGAAUAUUGGACAAUGGGCGAAAGCCUGAUCCAGCCAUGCCGCGUGUGUGAAGAAGGUCUUCGGAUUGUAAAGCACUUUAAGUUGGGAGGAAGGGCAGUAAGUUAAUACCUUGCUGUUUUGACGUUACCGACAGAAUAAGCACCGGCUAACUUCGUGCCAGCAGCCGCGGUAAUACGAAGGGUGCAAGCGUUAAUCGGAAUUACUGGGCGUAAAGCGCGCGUAGUUGGUUUUGUAAGUUGGAGGUGAAAUCCCCGGGCUCAACCUGGGAACUGGCUCAAAACUGCAUGACUAGAGUACGGUAGAGGGUAGUGGAAUUUCCUGUGUAGCAGUGAAAUGCGUAGAUAUAGGAAGGAACACCAGUGGCGAAGGCGACUACCUGGACUGAUACUGACACUGAGGUGCGAAAGCGUGGGGAGCAAACAGGAUUAGAAACCCCUGUAGUCC
Molecule: ribosomal RNA, 449 nt
Filed under: uncultured bacterium
Lineage: Bacteria
Description: bacterial SSU rRNA
Rfam family: Bacterial small subunit ribosomal RNA
Source: RNAcentral